Small nuclear RNA from Macaca fascicularis (crab-eating macaque), 107 nucleotides. The record is from Ensembl. Lineage: Eukaryota; Metazoa; Chordata; Mammalia; Primates; Cercopithecidae.
GUACUCGCUUUGGCAGCACAUAUAUUAAAAUUGGAAAGAUACAGAGAAGAUGAGCACGGCCCCUGCACAAGGGUGACAUGCAAAUUCAUGAAGCAUUCCAUAUUUUU